GACGAACGCUGGCGGCGUGCUUAACACAUGCAAGUCGAACGGAAAGGCCCUGCUUUUGUGGGGGGCUCGAGUGGCGAACGGGUGAGUAACACGUGAGUAACCUGCCCUUGACUUUGGGAUAACUUCAGGAAACUGGGGCUAAUACCGGAUAGGAGCUCCUGCUGCAUGGGGGGGGUUGGAAAGUUUCGGCGGUUGGGGAUGGACUCGCGGCUUAUCAGCUUGUUGGUGGGGGAGUGGCUUACCAAGGCUUUGACGGGUAGCCGGCCUGAGAGGGUGACCGGCCACCUUGGGCCUGCGAUACGGCCCAGACUCCUACGGGAGGCAGCAGUGGGGAAUAUUGCACAAUGGGCGCAAGCCUGAUGCCGCAACGCCGCGUGCGGGAUGACGGCCUUCGGGUUGUAAACCGCUUUCGCCUGUGACGAAGCGUGAGUGACGGUCAUGGGUAAAGAAGCACCGGCUAACUACGUG
Molecule: ribosomal RNA, 468 nt
Filed under: uncultured bacterium
Lineage: Bacteria
Description: partial 16S ribosomal RNA
Rfam family: Bacterial small subunit ribosomal RNA
Source: RNAcentral